RNAcentral lists this ribosomal RNA (283 nucleotides) under uncultured prokaryote. RNAcentral's name for it is "partial 16S ribosomal RNA". It matches the Rfam family "Archaeal small subunit ribosomal RNA", at positions 474 to 754 of the family's 1478-position model. The record is from RNAcentral.
CACCGGCGGCUCGAGUGGUAACCGUUAUUAUUGGGUCUAAAGGGUCUGUAGCCGGCCGGAUAAGUCUCUUGAGAAAUCUGGCAGCUUAACAGUCAGGCUUUCAGGAGAUACUGUCUGGCUCGAGGCCGGGAGAGGUGAGAGGUACUUCAGGGGUAGGGGUGAAAUCUUGUAAUCCUUGAAGGACCACCAGUGGCGAAGGCGUCUCACCAGAACGGACCUGACGGCAAGGGACGAAAGCUAGGGGCACGAACCGGAUUAGAUACCCUGGUAGUCCCUGAGCGGG